RNAcentral lists this ribosomal RNA (496 nucleotides) under uncultured bacterium. RNAcentral's name for it is "partial 16S ribosomal RNA". It matches the Rfam family "Bacterial small subunit ribosomal RNA", at positions 28 to 506 of the family's 1533-position model. The record is from RNAcentral.
GAUGAACGCUGGCGGCGUGCCUAAUACAUGCAAGUCGAGCGAACGGACGAGAAGCUUGCUUCUCUGAUGUUAGCGGCGGACGGGUGAGUAACACGUGGAUAACCUACCUAUAAGACUGGGAUAACUUCGGGAAACCGGAGCUAAUACCGGAUAAUAUUUUGAACCGCAUGGUUCAAAAGUGAAAGACGGUCUUGCUGUCACUUAUAGAUGGAUCCGCGCUGCAUUAGCUAGUCGGUAAGGUAACGGCUUACCAAGGCAACGAUGCAUAGCCGACCUGAGAGGGUGAUCGGCCACACUGGAACUGAGACACGGUCCAGACUCCUACGGGAGGCAGCAGUAGGGAAUCUUCCGCAAUGGGCGAAAGCCUGACGGAGCAACGCCGCGUGAGUGAUGAAGGUCUUCGGAUCGUAAAACUCUGUUAUUAGGGAAGAACAUAUGUGUAAGUAACUGUGCACAUCUUGACGGUACCUAAGCAGAAAGCCACGGCUAACUACGU